This 136-nucleotide ribosomal RNA is filed under the name uncultured Sphingobacterium sp. Its description in RNAcentral is "partial 16S ribosomal RNA". It matches the Rfam family "Bacterial small subunit ribosomal RNA", at positions 340 to 473 of the family's 1533-position model. Lineage: Bacteria; Pseudomonadati; Bacteroidota; Sphingobacteriia; Sphingobacteriales; Sphingobacteriaceae. The record is from RNAcentral.
UACGGGAGGCAGCAGUAAGGAAUAUUGGUCAAUGGGGGCAACCCUGAACCAGCCAUGCCGCGUGCAGGACGACUGCCCUAUGGGUUGUAAACUGCUUUUGUUAGGGAAUAAACCCCGCUACGUGUAGCGGGCUGAA